This 377-nucleotide ribosomal RNA is filed under the name uncultured bacterium. RNAcentral describes it as "partial 16S ribosomal RNA". It matches the Rfam family "Bacterial small subunit ribosomal RNA", at positions 338 to 729 of the family's 1533-position model. The record is from RNAcentral.
CCUACGGGAGGCAGCAGUGGGGAAUAUUGGGCAAUGGGCGCAAGCCUGACCCAGCAACGCCGCGUGAAGGAAGAAGGCUCUCGGGUUGUAAACUUCUUUUUUGAGGGACGAAAAAAGUGACGGUACCUCAGGAAUAAGCCACUGCUAACUACGUGCCAGCAGCCGCGGUAAUACGGAGGUGGCAAGCGUUAUGCGGAUUUAUUGGGUGUAAAGGGCGUGUAGGCGGGAAAGCAAGUCAGAUGUGAAAACUCAGGGCUCAACCCUGGGCCUGCAUCUGAAACUGUUUUUCUUGAGUGCUGGAGCGGCAGUCGGAAUGCCGUGUGUAGCGGUGAAAUGCGUAGAGAUACGGAAGAACACCGGUGGCGAAGGCAGAUUGC